GAUGAACGCUGGCGGCGUGCCUAAUACAUGCAAGUCGAGCGAACGGACGAGAAGCUUGCUUCUCUGAUGUUAGCGGCGGACGGGUGAGUAACACGUGGAUAACCUACCUAUAAGACUGGGAUAACUUCGAGAAACCGGAGCUAAUACCGGAUAAUAUUUUGAACCGCAUGGUUCAAAAGUGAAAGACGGUCUUGCUGUCACUUAUAGAUGGAUCCGCGCUGCAUUAGCUAGUUGGUAAGGUAACGGCUUACCAAGGCAACGAUGCAUAGCCGACCUGAGAGGGUGAUCGGCCACACUGGAACUGAGACACGGUCCAGACUCCUACGGGAGGCAGCAGUAGGGAAUCUUCCGCAAUGGGCGAAAGCCUGACGGAGCAACGCCGCGUGAGUGAUGAAGGUCUUCGGAUCGUAAAACUCUGUUAUUAGGGAAGAACAUAUGUGUAAGUAACUGUGCACAUCUUGACGGUACCUAAUCAGAAAGCCACGGCUAACUACGUGCCAGCAGCCGCGGUAAUACGUAGGUGGCAAGCGUUAUCCGGAAUUAUUGGGCGUAAAGCGCGCGUAGGCGGUUUUUUAAGUCUGAUGUGAAAGCCCACGGCUCAACCGUGGAGGGUCAUUGGAAACUGGAAAACUUGAGUGCAGAAGAGGAAAGUGGAAUUCCAUGUGUAGCGGUGAAAUGCGCAGAGAUAUGGAGGAACACCAGUGGCGAAGGCGACUUUCUGGUCUGUAACUGACGCUGAUGUGCGAAAGCGUGGGGAUCAAACAGGAUUAGAUACCCUGGUAGUCCACGCCGUAAACGAUGAGUGCUAAGUGUUAGGGGGUUUCCGCCCCUUAGUGCUGCAGCUAACGCAUUAAGCACUCCGCCUGGGGAGUACGACCGCAAGGUUGAAACUCAAAGGAAUUGACGGGGACCCGCACAAGCGGUGGAGCAUGUGGUUUAAUUCGAAGCAACGCGAAGAACCUUACCAAAUCUUGACAUCCUUUGACAACUCUAGAGAUAGAGCCUUCCCCUUCGGGGGACAAAGUGACAGGUGGUGCAUGGUUGUCGUCAGCUCGUGUCGUGAGAUGUUGGGUUAAGUCCCGCAACGAGCGCAACCCUUAAGCUUAGUUGCCAUCAUUAAGUUGGGCACUCUAAGUUGACUGCCGGUGACAAACCGGAGGAAGGUGGGGAUGACGUCAAAUCAUCAUGCCCCUUAUGAUUUGGGCUACACACGUGCUACAAUGGACAAUACAAAGGGCAGCGAAACCGCGAGGUCAAGCAAAUCCCAUAAAGUUGUUCUCAGUUCGGAUUGUAGUCUGCAACUCGACUACAUGAAGCUGGAAUCGCUAGUAAUCGUAGAUCAGCAUGCUACGGUGAAUACGUUCCCGGGUCU
RNAcentral lists this ribosomal RNA (1372 nucleotides) under uncultured bacterium. Its description in RNAcentral is "bacterial SSU rRNA". It matches the Rfam family "Bacterial small subunit ribosomal RNA", at positions 28 to 1381 of the family's 1533-position model. The record is from RNAcentral.